This is a non-coding RNA of Oryctolagus cuniculus (rabbit), 853 nucleotides long. The record is from RefSeq and is a predicted model, not a curated record. Lineage: Eukaryota; Metazoa; Chordata; Mammalia; Lagomorpha; Leporidae.
UAGAAUUUGUGGUUGCAGACGCCGUGCUGGGGCACCAGGUGACACCAACUGAAGAAAUCCACACAAGAUGGAUCCUCUGCAAGGAAAAUACAGCAGGGACAUUAGCCGGGUUCUCCAGCCUUUUUUUAAGCUGCUCAAGUAAGAUGACUGACAGAUAAGAUGUCGUACACCAGAGAUUCUUACAGAGAAGGGCCUCAGGAGACAAGGAAUUCCUAGAUACAUUUGGAGGUACAGUCUAAAGAAUUUGCUGGCACAUUUGGUAUAAGAAACCCACCACAGUUCACAGAUUGUGUGCUCGCCUCAGAUACAACAACUGAACAUUGAUGACCUAAGCCCAGAGGUACCAACGGGAAGUCUUGGAAAAGCUAUAGCACUUUUAUGCUAGCAAGUGACACCUUAGCGCACUGGAAUCUGGUGAGGCUGAAAAAUAGUUCCUGGUGGUCCUCAGACUGCUUUACAGGAAGUUGGACCAAGGCUGGUGUCAGUAUUUUCCCAUCCCUGCACUUGAACUCUAACUACAGCAGUAGCUAAGAUGCAGUCCUAGGGUGGUUACAUCUAUAGUGCCUCAUUGAUUAAAACCUAAGCUCCGUGAAGGCACUGCCUGUUCAUUCAUCUCUGGCACAAAGGGGUUACUUUGGCAUUUAUUUACUGAACAGUGCUUAAUUUCAAUCAGUUGGGCAGGAACCAGCCCAGGAGUGGGGCCUUGGACCCAUCUAGGGAGCACUGUUCCUGACACUUUGAUGUGCGGGGCUGUAGUAGAGCAAGGUGCUGCCCAAACCACUCGAGUGGGCUUCUGCCAAAGCUCUCUGAAGACAAAUUGCAUGGACAGGCACACGGGUCCUUUACCUUUCUU